This is a long non-coding RNA of Tachysurus fulvidraco (yellow catfish), 578 nucleotides long. RefSeq lists it as uncharacterized. The record is from RefSeq and is a predicted model, not a curated record. Lineage: Eukaryota; Metazoa; Chordata; Actinopteri; Siluriformes; Bagridae. The transcript has 3 exons.
GCUGGCACCGCCCUCUCGUGGGACCCCAUUCAUGGCUUUCCCCAGCUAUAGGACAAUAUUGUCCCGCUGUUGUUAGCGUGGGCUGUCUGCUAUCACAGUGCAGGUUGGCAUCCAGUUUGUGAACCAAAAAAAUCAAUCUAGUGAAGAUGAUUGCGUUUAAUGAGAGUUAUAACUGCUAAUCGCUGCAGGUUGAUCUGGUUGUCCAACCACUUUCUGGGGGAUGAGGGGGUUACGUCCAUGGGUAUGACUGCGCUGCUGUUUUGCCUCUGAGAAUACCGUUGUGGGUCGCUUUGACUCCAACUCGGUACAACGGGGCUUCACGCCGUGUAUUUUAGUUGGCAGCUCUGUGUUUGUUUUACGUCAACUCUUCCCUCUACUGAGGCGUUUAACUGUGAGUCACUUAGUCGAUGUCUUAGUUUUGUUGGUUUUAUUUAUUUUUUGCUACUUGUCUCAGCACUCCUCUCUUUGUAUUUUGUUUGUUUUCUUUGAUGUAUGUGAUUUAAUAUCACCAUUAGUUUGUUCUGGGUCCUGCUAGAACUGAAGUAUGCACUAUUAAAUCUGCAUGUAUAAAAUCUGUA